AGAGUUUGAUCAUGGCUCAGAUUGAACGCUGGCGGCAGGCUUAACACAUGCAAGUCGAGCGGAGCGAAUGUGCUUGCACCUUAGCUUAGCGGCGGACGGGUGAGUAAUGCUUAGGAAUCUGCCUAUUAGUGGGGGACAACGUUUCGAAAGGAACGCUAAUACCGCAUACGUCCUACGGGAGAAAGCAGGGGAUCUUCGGACCUUGUGCUAAUAGAUGAGCCUAAGUCGGAUUAGCUAGUUGGUGGGGUAAAGGCCUACCAAGGCGACGAUCUGUAGCGGGUCUGAGAGGAUGAUCCGCCACACUGGGACUGAGACACGGCCCAGACUCCUACGGGAGGCAGCAGUGGGGAAUAUUGGACAAUGGGCGCAAGCCUGAUCCAGCAAUGCCGCGUGUGUGAAGAAGGUCUUCGGAUUGUAAAGCACUUUCGACGGGGACGAUGAUGACGGUACCCGUAGAAGAAGCCCCGGCUAACUUCGUGCCAGCAGCCGCGGUAAUA
Molecule: ribosomal RNA, 497 nt
Filed under: uncultured bacterium
Lineage: Bacteria
Description: bacterial SSU rRNA
Rfam family: Bacterial small subunit ribosomal RNA
Source: RNAcentral